RNAcentral lists this ribosomal RNA (1152 nucleotides) under Neocalanus flemingeri. Its description in RNAcentral is "partial large subunit ribosomal RNA". Lineage: Eukaryota; Metazoa; Arthropoda; Copepoda; Calanoida; Calanidae. The record is from RNAcentral.
AAAUUUUUAAGGUCGAACAGACCAUCUUAUAUUAGCUCCUGCACAAAUAUAAGUAUUUAAUUCAACAUCGAGGUCACAAACACCUAUUCUGAUAAGAACUCUUAUAGGUAUAAUGCUGUUAUCCCUAGAGGAGCUUUUUUAUUAUUCCAAGAGGCUCAUUUAAUAUAUAUGAAUUUAAAUAAUAAUUUUAAUUUUUACCCCAAAAAAUAGAUUUAUGUUAAGAUCGUUAAUAAUGUUUAGCAUCUAUCAGCUUCAUAGGGUCUUCUCGUCUUAAAAACGUUCUUAAGUAUUUUCACUUAAACUAAAAUUUCGAAACAUGUCCUAAAAAAGCUAUCUUAGUGGUACCAUUCAUUCUAUUUUCCAAUUAAAAAACUAAUUACUAUGCUACCUUAGCACUAACGCGGCUAUUUAAACUAUUCAUUGAGCAGGCGGUAUAAAUAUUAUUUACAAUGUUUUUGAUAAACAGGCUAAAUAAUUUAUGUAGAGUUAUUUUAUCCUAUUUUUAGUUCUGAUAAUAAGAUUAUUUAAUUAUAUAAUUAAUUACAUACUAACUACUCAUAUAAAUAUAUUACAUAAAAAUAUAUUAUUAUUUUUCACUAAAUUUAAUGUCACAAAUUAUUUAAAUUUAAAUUAACCAGAAUUUUAAUAUAUUCUUAUAAACAUUGAUAUUUUUAUAAAGCACUAAUAGUAUUUUAAUUUAGCUAACGCUUUAAAACUUAUCUUUUAAAGAUUUUUAAUUUUCAUAGAAUUAGAUUUAAUCUAACUUAAAUUUAACAAGGAUCUAUUUUAUGUUAACAUAUCAUCCCAAAAAUUAUAUUCACUAAAUUGUUAUAACAAUUUUAAUAUUAUAAUUUUUAUCCUAAAUAGUUCGUGAGAUAUAUUAUCAGUCUAAGUCAUUUAUACAUGAUGCAAAAGGUAUGAAUACUUAUAUUUUACCUGGUAAUUUUUAAUAUAAAAUAUGAGGCUAGGCCACUAAAAAGCUUAAGCUAAAUAUGUGAGGAAGUAAAGCGAGCCAUACCGCCGGCAAGUCACUUAUACCCCAGUCAGAGACAUACUCAGUUUACAAAACUAAAAUUUUAUUUAAAUUAUAAGGUAAUAAAUCAUUAGAAAUUUUUCUUAUAAAUGUUUUCAAGACACUUUUUAAAAUGAUUC